AUUACAGCCACCACACGACCUGUUCUCCCCCAAAUCGAACCCUCCCUAGACCUCCUCCUCAACCGCCGCCGCCGCCCCCUCUGCCGUUGACCACGCCCUCCGCCACCACCCCUUUGGCUGACCUGUGCGACCCCAUCGGGAUCUAUGGCGGCGGUGCUUGGAUCUCGGCGCCGCCUCCCUCGAUACGCCUCUGAUGUGCGAGGUUGUCGUCGCCUCCCUCCCUUCGACACCACCACCAGAACUGGUCGACGAUGCCGGUCGCCUCCAUCUCUUCCUUACGGUCCAUCACGCCGACGAGCAUAGGCGGACUCCCCACCGUGGCUUCCUCCCCGCCAACGGCGAGCGUGGUGUCCCAUCUCCACUAUACUGGUACAAUACUUUCCUCAGAUCCGUCUUGGUGGAAAUCCGAUGCAGGUGCUAUUAGUGAAAGGAUUGGAGAGUGGUUCUAGCAGUGGUUGGUUUGUUCGAGGAAUUCCUGGUGCUCGUGAUUUGUAAAGGGUUUCAGCCAGGGCAAGUAAUUAUCAGCUGAGCAAAGGCUACAACAUGCUAGGAGGAGAAGUUUGAAUGGAGGCAGAGAGUACACUUGAUGAUGUGCCAGAAGGAAAACAAAAGGCAACGAUGAGAAGGAAAACAAACGGCAAUCUACUUACAUCUGACGUGUUAAUUCGAAUGUGCCAAAAAUUUCUCUUUUCAGGAAAUAGAAUGGAAAAAGGAAGAGGAGAGAAUGCUGAAGCACAAGAGCGAGAGGCUAGCGGAAGUUAAAGCAAUAAACUAUAAGCAUUUUGAAUGAUUAGGGCCUCGUGUCGUUGGGAACAUUACAACCAUGGGGAAAGCUAAUUUUGGUUGCUAGUUUAGCAUAGAAGCCACUAUAUGCUCAUUUUGGUCGUGUGUCGCAUCAAAAAACAUAUGUAAUUUUCCUUUUGUUGCACAACACCCUUGUAUAUGGGCGUUUCUAGAAGCAUAUGUAUUUGGUCGUUAAUUUUAUUGAGUGAAGAUAAGUUUUACGAUGAGGCCCAUAUGUGAAUUAUGAAAUAGUGUCAUUUGUCUUGAUUGCCAAGAC
This 1060-nucleotide ribosomal RNA is filed under the name Triticum aestivum (bread wheat). Its description in RNAcentral is "partial small subunit ribosomal RNA". The record is from RNAcentral. Lineage: Eukaryota; Viridiplantae; Streptophyta; Magnoliopsida; Poales; Poaceae.